UUUCGGUUUGAACGGUGGGGCCACUGAU
Molecule: small RNA, 28 nt
Filed under: Bombyx mori (domestic silkworm)
Lineage: Eukaryota; Metazoa; Arthropoda; Insecta; Lepidoptera; Bombycidae
Description: ovarian small RNA-38333
Source: RNAcentral